GUCGGGAUAGCUCAGUUGGUAGAGCAGAGACUGAAAAU
RNAcentral lists this transfer RNA (38 nucleotides) under Calligonum mongolicum. Its description in RNAcentral is "partial tRNA-Phe". The record is from RNAcentral. Lineage: Eukaryota; Viridiplantae; Streptophyta; Magnoliopsida; Caryophyllales; Polygonaceae.